ACGAAGGGGGCUAGCGUUGCUCGGAAUCACUGGGCGUAAAGCGCACGUAGGCGGCUUUCUAAGUCGGUGGUGAAAUCCUGGAGCUCAACUCCAGUACUGCCUCCGAUACUGGAAGGCUUGAGUCCGGGAGAGGUGAGUGGAACUGCGAGUGUAGAGGUGAAAUUCGUAGAUAUUCGCAAGAACACCAGUGGCGAAGGCGACUCACUGGACAUGUAUUGACGCUGAGGUGCGAAAGCGUGGGGAGCAAACAGGA
Molecule: ribosomal RNA, 253 nt
Filed under: uncultured prokaryote
Description: partial 16S ribosomal RNA
Rfam family: Bacterial small subunit ribosomal RNA
Source: RNAcentral